RNAcentral lists this unclassified non-coding RNA (307 nucleotides) under plant metagenome. Its description in RNAcentral is "partial contains 5.8S ribosomal RNA, internal transcribed spacer 2, and large subunit ribosomal RNA". The stretch from base 1 to 105 matches the Rfam family "5.8S ribosomal RNA", at positions 50 to 154 of the family's 154-position model. The record is from RNAcentral.
GAAAUGCGAUAAGUAGUGUGAAUUGCAGAAUUCAGUGAAUCAUCGAAUCUUUGAACGCACAUUGCGCCCUUUGGUAUUCCAAAGGGCAUGCCUGUUCGAGCGUCAUUUGUACCCUCAAGCUUUGCUUGGUGUUGGGCGUCUUGUCUCUAGCUUUGCUGGAGACUCGCCUUAAAGUAAUUGGCAGCCGGCCUACUGGUUUCGGAGCGCAGCACAAGUCGCACUCUCUAUCAGCAAAGGUCUAGCAUCCAUUAAGCCUUUUUUCAACUUUUGACCUCGGAUCAGGUAGGGAUACCCGCUUAACUUAAGC